CUUAAAGACUGUUCUCAGUUCGGACUGCAGUCUGCAACUCGACUGCACGAAGCUGGAAUCGCUAGUAAUCGCGGAUCAGCACGCCGCGGUGAAUACGUUCCCGGGCCUUGUACACACCGCCCGUCACACCAUGGAAGUCUGCAAUGCCCGAAGCCGGUGGCCUAACCACUUAUGUGGAAGGAGCCGUCUAAGGCAGGGCAGAUGACUGGGGUGAAGUCGUAACAAGGUACC
Molecule: ribosomal RNA, 231 nt
Filed under: uncultured bacterium
Lineage: Bacteria
Description: partial 16S ribosomal RNA
Rfam family: Bacterial small subunit ribosomal RNA
Source: RNAcentral